This 554-nucleotide long non-coding RNA is filed under the name Calidris pygmaea (Spoon-billed sandpiper). RNAcentral describes it as "lncRNA (ENSCPGG00000003835.1)". Lineage: Eukaryota; Metazoa; Chordata; Aves; Charadriiformes; Scolopacidae. The record is from RNAcentral.
GAAAGUGGAGCAGCUAAAGCACAUUAUUUUCCAUUUAUGCUGUAAUGGUGUUUGUUUUGCCUGUCUUGUCUUAGAGGAAGGAUAAUACUUGUUUACUGGACGAAGCCAUCAACAGCAUACUAAUUUGGAGGAAGCAGAGGAAGAUGGAGCAAACUGAAGAAGCUGUGGAGCCUGUGCUAUCAGGGACUGUGCCAUUUGGGAGAUAACCCUGUCUUUGCUUCUUGAGCUCCAUCUGAAAGGACAAAGUAAAAGCCUGUGUUUUUGUGUGAGCUGAGCUCAUGCAGCCAGGGAAUAUACCAUCAGGGAGCUGCCUGCAUGCCUCAUUGGUACUGUGGUAACGUAGUUGAAGACCCAGAUACCACCUUGAACAAAUUCUUUUCAUAGCUCUAAUUUCAGCAUUUCAAAAUGGAUUUUGUUUAUGAACUGGAAUGAAAAGGCAGGAUUUUGAAAAAUCUGGUAAGAAAAAAUUUCAGUAACAGAUUUGCUGAAGGCAUGAAGAAUUUUCUUUUAUAUCAUGCUUAAACCUCAUAAUUUAUUUAUAUAGCUUUGUAUAU